GGAUCAUUCAAUUUGCAAAUUUUGCCUCUUAAAACUUUUUAUGCAAAAUUCUUUCAUUUGAUAUUGUCAUUAAGAAUGACAUUAGAAACGUUUAUGCAAUUGCUGGGAAAAUAUUCUUAAAAACGUUUAUAACAAUAACGCGGAAAAAACACAUGACGUUAUUGCCAAAAUAUUUUCGACGGCAACCAACAACGAAAGCAGGGGUUUUGCCCAUGGCUUCUUUGUUUCUUUGCCCUUGACCUCAGCAUGGAAGACGCCCAUUUGUGGUCAAAUUAGUCUUGACUAAAGCAUUACGGCAACAAAUAUUCUUUAAUAAUGAAAGCUAGAGUUGGAUUAAUGCUGCAAUUAUUACACCAUAGAGAAAAAUUCAGAAUCUACAAAUUUAAUGACGAGGAAUACGUGACUUUCAGACUUUCAGUCUUUCGACAUGCUGAAACCUUGCACACAAGCGUGUAAAAACAAGUUAUUGAAAGUGGAUGCUAUUUAUCAGACAUAAAUAAUUAAAUUCUUUUGAAUAAUAAAUGCGGAAGAUGUAGCUAAACAGAACAUGUGGAAGUUAAAUAGAACGCAACUGACUUGUAGAAGAUAGUAUUUUACAAAGAAGCGUAGAGGCUAGCGAACUAUUUCAGUUUAAUUAAUUGAUCUACGCUUAUCUACUGAUGGGAGUACCAUAUGAUUAUUGGAGAGUGGGGAUUCUGUAUGGCUUAGAGUCGAGCAAGAAUCUCAUUUGUAUAAAACCUCUGUCAUUCGGUGCUGGCCUUUUAUGAAACGAAGUAAUGCCUACAAACAUAUUGGAGUUAUUGCUGAGUCAGAUAGACAAGCAGCUUAUACCCCUGACCGUGCGUUGUGAUACCAACGAAACUUUUUAAAACAUUUGGUCGAUGGAACGUAGCUUUAAUCAAACGAUGUGGCCGAGAAAAGUAUCAUUCAACAUCCGUCAAUUUGCAGCAUUUGGCUGUGGUUCCUGUGCAUGCACAUACGCGAUGAUUGAGGGGUUAACGAAUACAGAGAAGAAAAAGUGAAGGCUCUAGCGUUGCACUUUUUGGCAUCCCUUGAAAAUGAUAAACUCUGGCUUGAAAAUUCUUUUAUUAUUUCAAGACCUCAUCAUAAACAUCCACUCAAAAAUGGAAGAACUAUUCUUAAAGUGGUUUUAUUGGUAACUAUGCCAAUAGCUUGACACGAUGAACGAGUUCUUUGCAGACAAAACAAAUGGAUUAGAAUUUAAAUACUACAAUACCCUUGUUUGUAGUCACGGACAAGGCGUAGCCCUGCCAUAUAGAUUUCAGAGUAAUACAACCAGUGAAAAUUACGGAUUUACGGUGAACAAUUGUAACUCGUUGCAGUAAAACAUGUAGAGCUAAUUGCAAAGGAUAAUGUAUGUACUAUUUUCCCGACUCCAUGCAGUCACACAGCUUCUUUUAGCAAGGUUAAUAAAAUAUAAAUCGUAACCUUA
Xenia sp. Carnegie-2017 is the source of this 1453-nucleotide long non-coding RNA. RefSeq lists it as uncharacterized. The record is from RefSeq and is a predicted model, not a curated record. The transcript has 2 exons. Lineage: Eukaryota; Metazoa; Cnidaria; Anthozoa; Malacalcyonacea; Xeniidae.